UCAAACUCAAACAACAUCUUCAUCUGAGCCUUCUCAAGAACUAGUUGAUCAACAAUCUUCUUCCAAGCACCGGAAGGUUGAGGCAUGCUAGAGGAAGAUAAACCCUAUGGCUCUCUUUGUCUCUUCACUGCAUGGUAUUCAAGAAUCUCAAUAAGUGCAUCCUUGUGCUUAAACUCAAGUUACGACUCUUCAUGCUUUUGGCUCAAAGCAUGGAACCGCU
RNAcentral lists this long non-coding RNA (220 nucleotides) under Lathyrus oleraceus (garden pea). Its description in RNAcentral is "Pisum sativum (pea) long non-coding RNA (PSAT_LNC013882)". Lineage: Eukaryota; Viridiplantae; Streptophyta; Magnoliopsida; Fabales; Fabaceae. The record is from RNAcentral.